AAUUGUCACAUCAUAAUUAACUCCUUGUGAGGAACGAUCUGGUGCUGGUGCCCUCAGACCAGGCAGGCUCAUCAUCAUCAAAGAGAAUGAUCUGUGUUAGGGGAGCGGCAGGACCUCCAGGAGAACAUGGCCAAGUUCGCCUGUCUCUGCUGCACGGAUGCCCGGUCCUCAUUACUGGCCUGCCUACCGCUGUACUGCAUGAAGACGCAAGCCCCAAGGCAUGUUGAAUGGAGCCAGGCCUUGCACCAGCACAAGAGACAAGAUCCAGUAGAUGGCAGAGCGAGAACGAGGAAGUCGACGGCCCCACCGCAGGACCGGGGGGGCAUGCAGUCCC
Molecule: long non-coding RNA, 334 nt
Organism: Brienomyrus brachyistius
Lineage: Eukaryota; Metazoa; Chordata; Actinopteri; Osteoglossiformes; Mormyridae
Exons: 3
Source: RefSeq, a predicted model, not a curated record